CAUGGCACCACUUGGCAAGCCAUGCUGUGGUAGGCGUCUCACAUAUAACGUAGAGGAAGAUGGGCAUGGAUGUUAGCUCAGGGCCAGUCUUCCUCAGCAAAAAGAGGAGGAUUGGCAGUAGUUAGCUCAGGGCUAAUCUUCCUCAAAAAAAAAAAAAAAGAUAAUCAAGGUGAGAGAUGCUGGCAGCUCAGUCACAGUGGUGGCCCAGGAGCAGCUAAGAAGCGGCACGAUUCCAGUGUAUUCUGAGGAAAGGACCAGUAGGAUUUGCUGGUGAAUUGGAUGUGGGAUGUGAGUGAAGGAGACGAGUCGAAGAGGACUCCAAGAUUUUUGGCCUCAACACUGGGCUGCAGCAAUCAACAGGACAGACCGUAGCUUUCUCUCCUGCAGCUUACCUCCGAGGCAGAACUGACAUGUAUUUUCUUGUUUGGUCUUCCUAACAGUCCUAAGGAGAUUCAAAAGCUGAAAACUGGGCCGGCCUGAUGGCAUCGUGGUUAAGUUCACACACUCCACUUUGGCAGCCCGGGGCUCAUGGGUUCGGAUCCCGGGUGCAGACCUACACACCGCUUGUCAAGCCAUGCUGUGGAUGCGCCCCCAGCCCCAGGAGUGACAACCAAAACUGUCUCCAGACGUUGCCACGUGUCCCUGAGGACCAACCUUGCCC
Molecule: long non-coding RNA, 661 nt
Filed under: Equus caballus (horse)
Lineage: Eukaryota; Metazoa; Chordata; Mammalia; Perissodactyla; Equidae
Description: lncRNA (ENSECAG00000059730.1)
Source: RNAcentral